GUAGGUGGCAAGCGUUGUCCGGAAUUAUUGGGCGUAAAGCGCGCGCAGGCGGUUCUUUAAGUCUGAUGUGAAAGCCCACGGCUCAACCGUGGAGGGUCAUUGGAAACUGGAGAACUUGAGUACAGAAGAGGAAAGCGGAAUUCCACGUGUAGCGGUGAAAUGCGUAGAGAUGUGGAGGAACACCAGUGGCGAAGGCGGCUUUCUGGUCUGUAACUGACGCUGAGGCGCGAAAGCUUGGGGAGCAAACAGGGAUUAGAUACCCUGGUAGUCCACGCCGUAAACGAUGAGUGCUAAGUGUUAGGGGGUUUCCGCCCCCUUAGUGCUGCAGCUAACGCAUUAAGCACUCCGCCUGGGGAUACGGCCGCAAGGCUG
This 372-nucleotide ribosomal RNA is filed under the name uncultured organism. Its description in RNAcentral is "partial 16S ribosomal RNA". It matches the Rfam family "Bacterial small subunit ribosomal RNA", at positions 527 to 896 of the family's 1533-position model. The record is from RNAcentral.